ACGGGGGCGGGACCUGGGGUGGUGGGCGGGGAUUGAGAGGCGGAGCCUGUGGAAGAGGUGGAGUUUAAGAACUGAGAAGGGUGCAGUAAGAGCCAUGGGCAAGGCCUAAAGAGUGGGCCUGAAGAGGGAGGAGUCUGAGGGAGUGAGGACUGAAGAAGGAGUGGACUGAGGGUCCGUGAAGUCUGAGUAAGGUGGUUCAGGCAGGGCGUGACCCGAAGAGGGGCGGGCCUGGCGGGAAGAGGCCCGUAGAAGACAGGACCUGUGGGAGGAAGGGGUGGUGUCUUGGGGGCGGGGCCUGAGUUGGGCUGGGGCGGGGCUUGGCCUGGGGAAGGAAAGGUUGCAUGGCCUAUGCAGCAAAUGGAGCCCUGUUACCUCCCAACAGAGCCAAGAAGGUAUGGGUGCCUGCCACAGUGGACACAUGUGGAAGCCAGCAAGCAGUCGUGGGAGUCAGCUCUCCUUUUCCACCACGUGGGCUCCACGGACCAGUCAGAUUCAGGCUUGGUGACAAGUGCCUUUAUCCACUGAGAAAUCUUCGCAGGCCCUUAGGUGUUUUGUUUUUGUUUUUGUACCAAAAGAUAUAAAUGCAAAUAAACUGCCACAAAUUGAAAACUUCUCAAAGGCCCAUCAACAGAUGGACUGGUAAGCACAUAGUCACACAACAGCACCAGAUGUGAUGAAGUUCCAAAACACUGUGGAAGAGUCCAGAGUGUUCCGGUGGACAUGGAACAUGGACAUGGAAGGGCACAGUUUGGUGUCAGGAAGGGCUCAAGGGAUAGCAAUGCAGCAAGGAAAAAAAUGAAGAGAGCCCCGCUUCACCCAUGCAGACCUCCAGGGAUGCAGCCAGGUGCACGGGAAUUUGAGGACAGGCUGUGUGUCUAUCCGUGUGACACUGAAAACAGCCCUUUGCUCAUCCGUGGAGACAGGCCAAGGAAGGGGCUGCCUGGGGGAGCUGGCGGGAGUUGAAUUGCAAAGAUCUCUAGGAAUGUUCUGGGUGACAUGGCAAGACUAUUUACAAAAACUCAUCUGCUGAGUACUGACCGUGGCUGCAAGGAUGCAAAUUCUGUCCCAGGAACUGACUCCUUUGCUGGGGUAGUUGUGUAAGCAACCCUGGCCUGACGUGCCCAAAGCCAUCUCCUCAACACUGCAGAAAAGGGGAAGCAGGCCCGUCUACUUUGUAUUGUUUUACUUCCUUCAUUUAUUGUGUGUGCUCAUGGGGAAUGUUCAUGUGUGUGGAUGGCAGGGAUCAGUCUGUUGUCACUCCUCAGAUGUCCACUGUUUGUUUUUAAGAAGGGGGCUACACUCCUGUUGAGAGUUUAAAUACCCUCACAUCUGACUUGAGUUCUGGAAUAUUUUUGAAAUAUAUUAUAAUGGAAAAUAUAAACCCAUGGCGUGCAUACUGGUCAGUGACAAAGGCCACUCCAGAUGGUAAGAACUGCACAAAGGCAGCAGGUGCUUUAGCUGGGUCAAGGACAGCCUAAAGAAACAACGCCAUCCAUGCUGUAUCAAGAGUAGAAGACAAGAUAUUCUAGAAUGUUCCAGAACAUUCUAAUAUUUUGGGAACAUUGUAGAAAAGCCCAGAAUGUUCCAAUAAUUCCAGGUGGACAUGAUGUAGAAGGUCACAAGAGGUGCCAGAAAAAGCUCAGGGAAAGUGAUGGGGCCACGGUGGCUCAGUGGGAAGUGGUGAGGCGGAGCAGACAGAGUGUCGACAAAGAUGUAUUGAGAGCGGCUUCCUCAGUGUGUGGGACGCAGCUGCGCCCGAGACGCCCAGUGUGUCGCAUCUGGCAGAGGGACCAUUUAUUACACCAAUCAUCACACAGUGAACAAGCAACUGCUUAAUUGUCAACAUGAUAAAAACUAUAGUUGAGACAUUUUGACACGGGUUUUGGGCCAGAGUUGGGAGGCUCGGGAGAGUCCUUCAGGCCAAAGAGCUGGUCAGGUGUGCACAGGGAACAGCCUUCAACGCACAAGGAACAGCCCUUGUGGGGGCCAAGAGGCAGCUUUAGUGGGAAUCUGACCUUUGCCAUGUGUUUUCUCCAGGAGGAGGCCAUGAGUCCCCAUCCUUCCCUUACAGUGUUCAGGGUGUCCAUGUUGCAGGCCUGCUGUACAGCAAAGCUCUCUUCUUACCUAGCCCUGGCAACACAGCUACCCCACCUCACCCCACCCCGCUGCUCUGUCCCCAGGGAACUAGGAUGCUGGUUCCCAUGGCAACCCCCUGCGACCUGGACACAUGGGUGUUCCUGCAGCUUGCCAUGAGCCAGCCAGCCAGACACCUAUUACCAUUUGAUCUGCAUGCCACACCAGAUGACAAAGAACAGAACCUUGGGGACAACUAGGGAAACUGAGGCUUCAAGGACUGCAUCAAGGUUGGAUGUCAGCCAUGUAGUCAAAUAGCCUUUUCUCUCCUGACAUUCUGGUAGAAACCAUGGCUAGACACCGGCAGGGGAGUCCUGAGUUCUUCAUGGGGCGGAGCCCCUGCUUAGGAUCCCCAGUGAGGGGCUGGGGGGCGUGGCUGGAGAUUCCUCUAGUCUCCCUGCUCAACCCACUUCCCUAGGGCAGGCACAGACUGAAGCAGGCUCAGCCACUCUAUCUUUUUUAUUCACUUUAUUUAAAGAUUUACUCCUCCUCACCCCCUCCCAGCAGGGAGUCCCCAUCCCUCCCUUUUGUAGGGCUGGGUCACCAGAGAUAAAGGGAAAGAGCCUGAGCAGAGGGGAACCCGAGUCCUCAGACCCCAAGAGCGGACACAGA
This is a long non-coding RNA of Peromyscus californicus insignis, 2745 nucleotides long. RefSeq lists it as uncharacterized. The transcript has 2 exons. The record is from RefSeq and is a predicted model, not a curated record. Lineage: Eukaryota; Metazoa; Chordata; Mammalia; Rodentia; Cricetidae.